RNAcentral lists this ribosomal RNA (537 nucleotides) under uncultured bacterium. RNAcentral describes it as "partial 16S ribosomal RNA". It matches the Rfam family "Bacterial small subunit ribosomal RNA", at positions 355 to 901 of the family's 1533-position model. The record is from RNAcentral.
UGGGGAAUAUUGCACAAUGGGCGCAAGCCUGAUGCAGCAACGCCGCGUGAGGGAUGACGGCCUUCGGGUUGUAAACCUCUUUUAGCAGGGAAGAAGCGAAAGUGACGGUACCUGCAGAAAAAGCACCGGCUAACUACGUGCCAGCAGCCGCGGUAAUACGUAGGGUGCAAGCGUUGUCCGGAAUUAUUGGGCGUAAAGAGCUCGUAGGCGGUCUGUCGCGUCUGCUGUGAAAUCCCGAGGCUCAACCUCGGGCCUGCAGUGGGUACGGGCAGACUAGAGUGCGGUAGGGGAGAAUGGAACUCCUGGUGUAGCGGUGGAAUGCGCAGAUAUCAGGAAGAACACCGAUGGCGAAGGCAGUUCUCUGGGCCGUAAGCUGACGCUGAGGAGCGAAAGCGUGGGGAGCGAACAGGAUUAGAUACCCUGGUAGUCCACGCCGUAAACGUUGGGCGCUAGAUGUGGGGACCAUUCCACGGUUUCCGUGUCGCAGCUAACGCAUUAAGCGCCCCGCCUGGGGAGUACGGCCGCAAGGCUAAAACU